AUGCAGAUAAAAGAACUUCAGAAAGCAACAAGAAUAAUCCAAACUAUAUGUGCAGAGGCAAAGGGUUACAAGCGAACAAUGAUCACGAGCAAGAUACCUGCCACAAAGAGAUCCAUGGAGCGGUUUCUCUUCCAAGUGAAGGCCCUCCUGGAACACUGCUCUAAUGUGGAGCGUUGCUGGAUUGGUAAUCUGAAGCACAAGGAUUUGCAUGGGCAUGUGGUAAGCUCUCAGGUGUACGGUGACGUGGAUGACGACCCAAAUGAUGCAGAACAAGAACAGAUGGAGACUGAUCCUGAAACUCCAGCCGACGAAAAUGACAACAUCGUGGAUGAUGAUGAGACAGAAAACGAGGCAACACCAUUGGAGGAUUGA
Molecule: ribosomal RNA, 372 nt
Filed under: Triticum aestivum (bread wheat)
Lineage: Eukaryota; Viridiplantae; Streptophyta; Magnoliopsida; Poales; Poaceae
Description: partial small subunit ribosomal RNA
Source: RNAcentral